This 294-nucleotide ribosomal RNA is filed under the name Escherichia coli. RNAcentral's name for it is "partial 23S ribosomal RNA". It matches the Rfam family "Bacterial large subunit ribosomal RNA", at positions 2637 to 2925 of the family's 2925-position model. The record is from RNAcentral. Lineage: Bacteria; Pseudomonadati; Pseudomonadota; Gammaproteobacteria; Enterobacterales; Enterobacteriaceae.
CCUAUCUGCCGUGGGCGCUGGAGAACUGAGGGGGGCUGCUCCUAGUACGAGAGGACCGGAGUGGACGCAUCACUGGUGUUCGGGUUGUCAUGCCAAUGGCACUGCCCGGUAGCUAAAUGCGGAAGAGAUAAGUGCUGAAAGCAUCUAAGCACGAAACUUGCCCCGAGAUGAGUUCUCCCUGACCCUUUAAGGGUCCUGAAGGAACGUUGAAGACGACGACGUUGAUAGGCCGGGUGUGUAAGCGCAGCGAUGCGUUGAGCUAACCGGUACUAAUGAACCGUGAGGCUUAACCUU